ACAAGGGAGGUGAAAGGUGUUGUAGGUACUAUCCCAGAAGUAGAGAGAAGCCAAAAGCAUAUUUGGGCAGAUAUUGGGUCCUACUCUCGACAACUGAAUAAGGUCGAAAAUGCCUACUUCUUUCCAAAAAUCCCCUUUAACCUUUUCGAUUUUAUCUAGCCAAGAUAAGUAGUCAGAGGGGUCUUUCAACCAUGGACAGGUUCUAAAUAUCCUGUUGU
This 218-nucleotide long non-coding RNA is filed under the name Lathyrus oleraceus (garden pea). Its description in RNAcentral is "Pisum sativum (pea) long non-coding RNA (PSAT_LNC028093)". Lineage: Eukaryota; Viridiplantae; Streptophyta; Magnoliopsida; Fabales; Fabaceae. The record is from RNAcentral.